AUACGGAGGAUCCGAGCGUUAUCCGGAUUUAUUGGGUUUAAAGGGUGCGCAGGCGGCCAUUUAAGUCAGCGGUUAAAUCGUGGGGCUCAACCCCAUUCUGCCGUUGAUACUGGGUGGCUUGAGUACGGUACAGGUGGGCGGAAUUCGUGGGGUAGCGGUGAAAUGCUUAGAUAUCACGAAGAACUCCGAUCGCGAAGGCAGCUCACCGGGCCGGAACUGACACUGAUGCUCGAAAGUGCGGGUAUCAAACAGGAUUAGAUACCCUGGUAGUCCGCACAGUAAACGAUGAAUACUUGUUUUCGGCGAUAUAAUGUCGGAGGCAAAGCGAAAGCGAUAAGUAUUCCACCUGGGGAGUACGCCGGCAACGGUGAAACUCAAAUGAAUUGGCGGGG
RNAcentral lists this ribosomal RNA (392 nucleotides) under uncultured bacterium. RNAcentral describes it as "partial 16S ribosomal RNA". It matches the Rfam family "Bacterial small subunit ribosomal RNA", at positions 523 to 918 of the family's 1533-position model. The record is from RNAcentral.